UAGGGAAUAUUGGUCAAUGGGUGAGAGCCUGAACCAGCCAUGCCGCGUGCAGGAAGACGGCCUUCUGGGUUGUAAACUGCUUUUACCGGGGGAUAAAAUUCCCAUGCGUGGGACAUUGUAGGUACCCGGUGAAUAAGCCACGGCUAACUACGUGCCAGCAGCCGCGGUAAUACGUAGGUGGCAAGCGUUGUCCGGAUUUAUUGGGUUUAAAGGGUGCGUAGGCGGCCAAUUAAGUCAGUGCUGAAAUAUCCCGGCUUAACCGGGAGGGUGGCAUUGAUACUGGUUGGCUUGAGUGGAGUCGAAGUAGGCGGAAUUGACGGUGUAGCGGUGAAAUGCUUAGAUAUCGUCAAGAACACCGAUAGUGUAGACAGUUUACUAGGCUUUAACUGACGCUGAGGCACGAAAGUGUGGGGAUCAAA
Molecule: ribosomal RNA, 419 nt
Filed under: uncultured bacterium
Lineage: Bacteria
Description: bacterial SSU rRNA
Rfam family: Bacterial small subunit ribosomal RNA
Source: RNAcentral